GUAUCACAGAGAAGAAAGCACAAUUCUUAGUAGCUCUCAAGGUUAUGGAGACAACACAUUCUAUACAAUGGGAAAACUGCUCUGUCCCAUCCAUGCGGUGAAUGAGGACUAGGUCAGGAAGGUGUUCUGCAAGCAUUGGAAUAAAUAACAGAAGAAAGAACAGCUAUAUUCCCCAGAUUUUUGCUGAUAUGAAUUAGAAAAUUAUUCCAAUUCUUUUGGUGGCUCAAACCAGAGUCUUGGAAUUCGCCGUAGAAUGAAAUGUGAAGUCUCACCUGCCCGGAUCAAAAACGGAGAAUGUUUCUUCACAUAUGAGUCACUACCCCUAGCAAAAGUGAGUUCAAUUAGUACUCCGGAAUCCGAACAAUCCCAACACUUGCCUUUCUUCCUUAGGGAAAAGAUGAGAGUGAAGAAAAUAACAGGGUUUCUGUCUAUCAGAAGCCAGCACAGUUCAGCUAACAAGAUCCAAGAGCUCCACACAGGAUUUGAGGCUGAAGACCUAAGACAAUUAAAACAAAUUUUUUUGUAUUGUU
This is a non-coding RNA of Macaca mulatta (Rhesus monkey), 530 nucleotides long. Lineage: Eukaryota; Metazoa; Chordata; Mammalia; Primates; Cercopithecidae. The record is from RefSeq and is a predicted model, not a curated record.